RNAcentral lists this transfer RNA (72 nucleotides) under Branchiostoma floridae (Florida lancelet). It matches the Rfam family "tRNA". From Rfam's summary of the family: Transfer RNA (tRNA) molecules are approximately 80 nucleotides in length. Their secondary structure includes four short double-helical elements and three loops (D, anti-codon, and T loops). The record is from Rfam by way of RNAcentral. Lineage: Eukaryota; Metazoa; Chordata; Leptocardii; Amphioxiformes; Branchiostomatidae.
GGGCAUGUGGCGUAACGGCAGAGUGUUCGGCUUAGAACCAAGCUGUCCCGGGUUCGAAUCCUGCCAUGACCU